Marmota monax (woodchuck) is the source of this 1546-nucleotide long non-coding RNA. RefSeq lists it as uncharacterized. The transcript is spliced from 5 exons. NCBI's taxonomy places the organism in Eukaryota, Metazoa, Chordata, Mammalia, Rodentia, Sciuridae. The record is from RefSeq and is a predicted model, not a curated record.
CUGAAAUCCUCUCAGGCAUUCAAAAGAUUCCAAAUAUCCUAAACAAGUACUCCUCGAAAAUUUCCACUGAAAAAUCUCUUAAGGCAAAAGAAAGAUGUCUUACCGUUGGGGGCCUGGGACCCUGACUCAAAGAAGCUGCCUGAAAGGCCAUGUGCCUGCUGGAUCUGUAACUGUCACCCUGAGACUCUAAGAGCAAUGCCAAGAGAACUGCGGGGCCACGUUGACCUGUGGAUCUGAGUGUCGCGACUGUUGACUUCUGACUUCUCCUUAUGGAAGAAAACAAAACCCUCAUUUGUUUAAGCUAUUGUUGAAAAUAUUCCCAAUGCCUUCUGAUGAACUGAAGAGUGAACCAAAGGUUCACUAUCUGGCAGUCCCCAGACUGGACACCAGGCAAACAAAUGAACGUAAUGACACCCUGUACACAAAUUCACAGUUGCCUGCUCACAUUCCUCAGCACCCCUUGGGCUAUGUCAAGGAAUCAGCUAACUCUGGGAAAUACAGCUAAGAUGGCUUUGUCAUUUGAGCUAAAGUGUGACAGGAGCAGAUGGAAAGACCAGAAGCUUAAUGGGAAUUAAAGGCAUGCACUCUACUUUAUCCCAUUCAUGUUUGAUAUAUUUGAUCUAUUGUUCAUAAACAUAUUACCUUUAAGGAUAUAGUUCCGAUUUUUUGCUAUAAAACCCAUUGAAAUCAGUUUCAAGAUAUUUUUUCUAAGGCUUUUUCAACAUAAGAGAAAAUUUCCUUGUAAGUUCUCUUACACCCAUAGAAGAAGCAUUUCUCUAUAACUUCAAAAAAUGAUAUGCUAUCUUGCAGCUUCUAUAUCUUUUAGAAAUAAAUGCUUCUAACUCAGGAGCCUUGAAUUGGAAACAUUGUGUGUAUAAUACUGAUGAAACUCAUGUAACUAUUUGAGCUUGAUUUCAGGAUACUUUUAUAUUUUGGCCAUUGAGAAAACUUUGGAGAAUUUUACAAAGUCAGUGAAAAUUAGUAACAUCUUCCUUGGAAUUACUACUACCAGAAGCCUAAACCUUCACAAAUUGACUCAUUUGUUCGUCUGAGAAAUCUACCAACUUAUCUUCCCAAGUUCCCAAUCUAAGGACUUCAAAUAUUUUGCCGAAUUCCUACUUUCCUUCCCUGAGCCAAAACUAGUUGCUCAGAAACUUUCAGAAAACAGAAUGCCAAAAUAAUUCUGAAAGUCCAUAUGUUGUCAUAUACAAGUAUAGGACUUUUUACGGACACAAAAAACUGAUAUUUUAUUUUCCAGAGAAAACCAUGGACUAAACGUCUUGAAAAUACACACAGUGUUCCUAGCACCACUGCAUAAAGUAGAAGCUCUGGAAAUGUAAAUACUUUCAAUAAAGCGCACUGUGGGUGCGUUAUUUCAUUUCAGUACUGUUUAAAAUUAAUUUAUCAUUGAAAGCACAUUUUAGAGUGAGUUUCCAUAAAUCUCCAUAUUUAGAAAUUCAAAAGUGUCUUUAGCAUGCUCAUUCACUUUGUUACUUUCAUAAUUUCCAACAAGCAAAGUUUCUUUUCUUAAUGAAAGUGGUAUUUU